CUCACACUGUUGCUUAUAUAUAUUUCAAAUAAGCUGAACCACGGCCAGCAGGCCUUUGGCAGAAUUCAUUAGAGACUGGGAUAUCAGGACAACUGCAGUUAAGCAAGAAAACUUGUUAUGAGAUGAGGAGACAAAAAUUCAAUUUAAUUUAUUUACAAGUCCAGGUCUGCAAUUGAAUAUUUGGUCAAACUACUGCCAUAUUCUUCCUUCAAGUCACUAUGCUAUGAAGAGGCAUGCACCGUGCAUAGAACAGAGCCAUCUGUACCCUUUCAGAUGAUUGUGACAGCAAGUCUUUGGACUUCUGCUGGCAUGGAAUCCUACAUACGUGUUACUGACACAUAAAAACUACCUUUGUAAUCCUUCUACAAUCAGCUUCUCUCCUGGAUCCCUGCCAGAUCUCUAGAGCAAAUGUAUGACUUCAUAACAAUGUCCUCCUUCAAGAAAACAGAACAAAAGAAAGCAAUUAUUAAUAGUUAUUAAGAACGCUUCGCUGGAGUCUAGAAAUACAGAAUGACAGACACACCUACCUCAAUGGGUUGCAUUUACAUCAGAGCAGUGAUCAGCCUACCAGGAAAAUUAUCACUGUAACCAACACACUCAUUGCAUAAGAGAAUUUACUCAUCAUUUCUUGUACAUGUAAAGAAGAUAUUCCCUUUGUGAAUGUGGUGGUGGUGAAAACACUUAGGCUUAAGAUACAAGGAUACUGUUUAUAGGAGAGAGUCUGAUUGUCCAGUUGAAAGUGAUCAUGAGAUUCUGAACUGUAGUUUAGGGAAGCGAUGGAGGCGGCAGAAGGCCGGGCGAGAGCUGUGCUACCCGUGCAGGACAGUUCGAGAGUGACACCGCGUGGAGCCGCUGGGAGCGGCCCCUAAGGCUCAGCCAGAGGAAGGAACUAAGCACUGCUACAGCCUGGAAAGAAAUUUAAACAGGCAGAUAGUCCUUUGUGUUUAAUCCAGGAUAAGGAAAAAAAAAAAAAAAAAAAAACAACAACUAUAUGCUUUCACUUAUGCAUUUAUUUUUAGGCAUUUGCUACACUGCUAGGCGUAUCUUGCACCUAAAAAAUGACACCUGUUCCUCUCUCCAUUUCUUUCAUUAUUUUCCUCCACCUCUCAAAAUGGAAGAAUGAAGUGUGAACAGGGGACCCAGUUUUCAGCCAAGUCCCACACAGCUGGAAUGCAUGAGUGGCUCUGCAUCCUCUGGUUCAGGACAGCUGUGUCCCCAAAAUAGGUCCUUCAACCAUUUGUGUUGGCUACAGCAGCCCCAACAGUGGGAGGAGGAUCUGUGGGAAGCUGUACAUCUCACUCUGUCCUGUUUUCUCAGGAGCUCUAAUGUUCUGCUUGCAUUGUGAGGAACCAGCCAUACCAAAUUUAAAUGCCUCAGGAUCUUCCUGUGAGAGAUAUGUUAAAACUAUUACAGAACUUGAAUUGAGCUCUGCAUAUUUUAUAUUUUUCUGUAGCACCUUAGAGUAUUACAGCAGCUUGAAAUCUCUACAAGAUAGAGAAAUCAUUAAAUAAUUCUGUUGUGCAUGCACUUUGGCUUAUUUUUCUGGAGACACCACAAUAAGACACCCAAGCACAAUUCAAUUCCUCAACUAAAACAAGUUGUAUAAGUUUAUUGCUGCAGUAAAAAUAAGUGUAAAUCAGAAGACCAGCUUGAUUUUACUGUUUUUUUUUUUUUUUUUUUUUUUUUAUACAGAAAAUAUCUUGAAAGCCACCGUCUCAGUUGUUUCCAUGACCAUGGGAACCUUGCCAAAUACUAUUCUGACUCUUCAUUUGCAUACAUUAAAAAAUAUAGGGCAAAAUCCUUCACUAUGGAAUAGAAUCUGUGCCCGUAUACAUCUCAAAGCAGGCUUGAGAGCAAGGAUUUGGUACACUCUUAUCUUCUUUAACAGUUCUGCUAGAAGUAAAUGUUCCUCUUGAACUGAAAAAUGUGUUUUUUGCAUAAACUUUAGCGUUUAAAAAACUUACACUACAAAUAUUGAAAAUCAAAUGACUUCAGACUCCCAUUGAAAAUUUCACAUCUAUAAAAGAAUAGUUUUUCUUUUAAUUUCUUUGGAAAAAUAAAGGUCAAAACCCUCACCAUCUGAACAUUUUCUGACUGUCUUGAUACAGAAACCUUGGUGGCUGUCUUUCAGUGUUUAAUGGUAAGUUUUAUGUAAAAUAAGAUUAUGUUUAUUUAUUUAUUUAUUCUAAGCCUUCUAAGUUAUGUACAAAUAAAAGACAAGUUUACUCUUGUUUUAA
Anas platyrhynchos (mallard) is the source of this 2237-nucleotide long non-coding RNA. RefSeq lists it as uncharacterized. The record is from RefSeq and is a predicted model, not a curated record. Lineage: Eukaryota; Metazoa; Chordata; Aves; Anseriformes; Anatidae.